UACGUAGGGUGCGAGCGUUGUCCGGAAUUAUUGGGCGUAAAGGGCUCGUAGGCGGUCUGUCACGUCGGGAGUGAAAACACGGGGCUUAACCCCGUGCCUGCUUCCGAUACGGGCAGACUAGAGGUAUGCAGGGGAGAACGGAAUUCCUGGUGUAGCGGUGAAAUGCGCAGAUAUCAGGAGGAACACCGGUGGCGAAGGCGGGUCUCUGGGCCGUUACUGACGCUGAGGAGCGAAAGCGUGGGGAGCGAACAGG
Molecule: ribosomal RNA, 253 nt
Filed under: uncultured bacterium
Lineage: Bacteria
Description: partial 16S ribosomal RNA
Rfam family: Bacterial small subunit ribosomal RNA
Source: RNAcentral